GACGAACGCUGGCGGCGCGCUUAACACAUGCAAGUCGAGCGAGAACCGGGGCUUCGGCCCCGGGGACAGCGGCGAACGGGUGAGUAACACGUGGGCAACCUGCCCUCGGCACCGGAAUAGCCCGGGGAAACCCGGAUUAAUGCCGGAUGGCCCCUCAGCCCUGCGGGGCGGUGGGAAAAGGUAGCUUUGGCCUCCGGCCGAGGAUGGGCCCGCGGCGGAUUAGCUUGUUGGUGGGGUAACGGCCUACCAAGGCCCCGAUCCGUAGCUGGUCUGAGAGGACGAUCAGCCAGACUGGGACUGAGAAACGGCCCAGACUCCGACGGGAGGCAGCGGUGGGGAAUCUUGCGCAAUGGGCGAAAGCCUGACGAAGCGACGCCGCGUGAGGGAAGAAGGCCUUCGGGUUGUAAGCCUCUUUCAGGAGGGACGAAGCCACUCGGGUGAAUAGCCCAGAGGGUGACGGUACCUCCAGAAGAAGCCCCGGCUAACUACGUGCCAGCCGCCGCCGUAA
This 508-nucleotide ribosomal RNA is filed under the name uncultured bacterium. RNAcentral describes it as "partial 16S ribosomal RNA". It matches the Rfam family "Bacterial small subunit ribosomal RNA", at positions 28 to 523 of the family's 1533-position model. The record is from RNAcentral.